RNAcentral lists this ribosomal RNA (497 nucleotides) under uncultured bacterium. RNAcentral describes it as "partial 16S ribosomal RNA". It matches the Rfam family "Bacterial small subunit ribosomal RNA", at positions 28 to 507 of the family's 1533-position model. The record is from RNAcentral.
GAUGAACGCUGGCGGCGUGCCUAAUACAUGCAAGUCGAGCGAACAGACGAGGAGCUUGCUCCUCUGACGUUAGCGGCGGACGGGUGAGUAACACGUGGAUAACCUACCUAUAAGACUGGGAUAACUUCGGGAAACCGGAGCUAAUACCGGAUAACAUGUUGAACCGCGUGGUUCAACAGUGAAAGACGGUCUUGCUGUCACUUAUAGAUGGAUCCGCGCCGCAUUAGCUAGUUGGUAAGGUAACGGCUUACCAAGGCAACGAUGCGUAGCCGACCUGAGAGGGUGAUCGGCCACACUGGAACUGAGACACGGUCCAGACUCCUACGGGAGGCAGCAGUAGGGAAUCUUCCGCAAUGGGCGAAAGCCUGACGGAGCAACGCCGCGUGAGUGAAGAAGGUCUUCGGAUCGUAAAACUCUGUUAUUAGGGAAGAACAAAUGUGUAAGUAACUAUGCACGUCUUGACGGUACCUAAUCAGAAAGCCACGGCUAACUACGUG